GGGAGGGUGACCACCUGGGAACACCGCGUUCUGUUGGCAUGUCAACGGCCAUACCAUGCCGAAAAUACCGGUUCUCGUCCGA
RNAcentral lists this ribosomal RNA (82 nucleotides) under Oxyopes sertatus. The record is from RNAcentral. Lineage: Eukaryota; Metazoa; Arthropoda; Arachnida; Araneae; Oxyopidae.